GGAACGAACGCUGGCGGCAGGCUUAACACAUGCAAGUCGAGCGCCCCGCAAGGGGAGCGGCAGACGGGUGAGUAACGCGUGGGGAUAUGCCCAAAGGUGCGGAAUAACUCAGGGAAACUUGAGCUAAUACCGCAUGUGCCCGAAAGGGGAAAGAUUUAUCGCCUUUGGAUUAACCCGCGUCAGAUUAGCUAGUUGGUGAGGUAAUGGCUCACCAAGGCGACGAUCUGUAGCUGGUCUGAGAGGAUGACCAGCCACACUGGGACUGAGACACGGCCCAGACUCCUACGGGAGGCAGCAGUGGGGAAUAUUGGACAAUGGGCGCAAGCCUGAUCCAGCCAUGCCGCGUGAGUGAUGAAGGCCUUAGGGUUGUAAAGCUCUUUCGACGGGGACGAUAAUGACGGUACCCGUAGAAGAGCCCCGGCUAACUUCGUGCCAGCAGCCGC
This 443-nucleotide ribosomal RNA is filed under the name uncultured bacterium. RNAcentral's name for it is "SSU rRNA". It matches the Rfam family "Bacterial small subunit ribosomal RNA", at positions 27 to 518 of the family's 1533-position model. The record is from RNAcentral.